RNAcentral lists this unclassified non-coding RNA (253 nucleotides) under uncultured Micrococcaceae bacterium. Its description in RNAcentral is "contains 16S-23S intergenic spacer region". It matches the Rfam family "Bacterial small subunit ribosomal RNA", at positions 524 to 776 of the family's 1533-position model. Lineage: Bacteria; Bacillati; Actinomycetota; Actinomycetes; Micrococcales; Micrococcaceae. The record is from RNAcentral.
UACGGAGGGGGCUAGCGUUAUCCGGAAUCAUUGGGCGUAAAGAGCUCGUAGGCGGUUUGUCGCGUCUGCCGUGAAAGUCCGGGGCUCAACCCCGGGUCUGCAGUGGGUACGGGCAGACUAGAGUGCAGUAGGGGAGACUGGAAUUCCUGGUGUAGCGGUGAAAUGCGCAGAUAUCAGGAGGAACACCGAUGGCGAAGGCAGGUCUCUGGGCUGUAACUGACGCUGAGGAGCGAAAGCAUGGGGAGCGAACAGG